CCUACGGGUGGCAGCAGUGGGGAAUAUUGGUCAAUGGCCGCAAGGCUGAACCAGCCAAGUCGCGUGAAGGAUGACUGCCCUGAGGGUUGUCGACUUCUUUUGUCACGGCAUAAAAGGUCGCACGGGUCCCUUUUUGUGGGUACCUUAUGAAUCAGGAUCGGCUAACUCCGUGCCCGCAGCCGCGGUAAUACGGAGGAUCCGAGCGUUAUCCGGAGUUAUUGGGUUUAAAGGGAGCGUCGGUGGGUCGUUAAGUCAGGUGUGAAAGUUGGCGGCUAAACCGUAACAGUGCAGGUGAUACUGGAGGUCUUGAGUACAGGUGAGGCAGGCGGAAUUCGCGGGGUAGCGGUGAAAUGCGUAGAUAUCACGAAGAACCCCGAUUGCGAAGGCAGCUUACUGAACUGCCACUGACACUGAGGCUCGAAAGCGUGGGGAUCAAACAGGAUUAGAUACCCGAGUAGUC
Molecule: ribosomal RNA, 460 nt
Filed under: uncultured bacterium
Lineage: Bacteria
Description: partial 16S ribosomal RNA
Rfam family: Bacterial small subunit ribosomal RNA
Source: RNAcentral